This 301-nucleotide ribosomal RNA is filed under the name uncultured bacterium. Its description in RNAcentral is "partial 16S ribosomal RNA". It matches the Rfam family "Bacterial small subunit ribosomal RNA", at positions 509 to 809 of the family's 1533-position model. The record is from RNAcentral.
CAGUCGCCGCGGUAAAACGGAGGGUGCAGGCAUUAAUCGGAAUUACUGGGCGUAAAGCGUGCGUAGGCGGUUCGUUAAGUCUGUUGUGAAAGCCCCGGGCUCAACCUGGGAAUGGCAAUGGAUACUGGCGAGCUAGAGUGUGUCAGAGGAUGGUGGAAUUCCCGGUGUAGCGGUGAAAUGCGUAGAGAUCGGGAGGAACAUCAGUGGCGAAGGCGGCCAUCUGGGACAACACUGACGCUGAGGCACGAAAGCGUGGAGAGCAAACAGGAUUAGAUACCCCAGUAGUCCCUGUCUCUUAUAA